GGGCUACUAAUAUCACAUCUCUAAACUUAUAUUUUUCCCUAAACCAUGAGAAUUAUCAUUACUCCAACAUACCCAAUAUCAUCAACCUCUACUCCCUAAGUUUGCUGAUUAGAACAUCAUAUACUACAUAGCCUCAUCCAUACUUAACAACUCAAGGGUACUAUCAAAGCACAUACAUUGUUAGAACCUAGAAAUAAUACAAUCUCAUAUCACCUUGGGUAUACC
This 225-nucleotide long non-coding RNA is filed under the name Capsicum annuum. RNAcentral describes it as "long non-coding RNA (CANN_LNC007123)". Lineage: Eukaryota; Viridiplantae; Streptophyta; Magnoliopsida; Solanales; Solanaceae. The record is from RNAcentral.